Non-coding RNA from Pelobates cultripes (western spadefoot toad), 461 nucleotides. The record is from the annotation of a GenBank genome assembly. NCBI's taxonomy places the organism in Eukaryota, Metazoa, Chordata, Amphibia, Anura, Pelobatidae.
GUUACAUCUAAAUUAUAUUUAUUUAUUACCGGUACUAGAGUUUAUAAAGCGCCAACAGAUUCCGCAACGCUGUACAAUUAGUGGAGAACGUACAAUAUACACAAACAAAUACAAAAGGUAGAGAGAGCCCUGCCCGUAAGCUGAUAUCUAGCCAUUGGAGCUCUUUUAUACAAAGUGCUUGGCUAGAUGGCCCGUGAGCUUACAAUCUAGGAUACAGUGUGGGUUUGAGACAAGAGGUAGCAGGGGAAAUUUUGAAGUGAUGGCUAAAAAAGAAUUAACAGAGAGAAGCAGCUAUUGAUAAAAUAUAAAGGGAAUGACAAGGUAAUUGAGUGAGAAUUUUAAACAGCUCGAGGAGCAUGCUAUAAUUUAGAGGGAACCUGGGUGGGAAGUGGUGAGAAAAAAAAUGCAGAACUUCACUGAGUAUGAGUUGUGAUAAAUUGUUUCGUGCUAUUUAUUUGUAU